UGGGGAAUCUUGCACAAUGGGGGCAACCCUGAUGCAGCGACGCCGCGUGAGCGAUGACGCCCUUCGGGGCGUACAGCUCUUUCGACCGGAACGAUAAUGACGGUACCGGGAGAAGAAGCUGCGGCUAACUACGUGCCAGCAGCCGCGGUAAUACGUAGGCAGCAAGCGUUGUUCGGAGUUACUGGGCGUAAAGAGUGCGUAGGCGGUUUUCUAAGUUCGGUGUGAAAUCUCCCGGCUUAACUGGGAGGGUGCGCCGAAGACUGGGAAGCUGGAGUGUGGGAAAGGCAGGCGGAAUGCCUGGUGUAGCGGUGAAAUGCGUAGAUAUCAGGAGGAACACCGGCGGUGUAGACGGCUUGCUAGACCAUAACUGACGCUGAGGCACGAAAGCGUGGGUAGCAAACA
Molecule: ribosomal RNA, 402 nt
Filed under: uncultured bacterium
Lineage: Bacteria
Description: bacterial SSU rRNA
Rfam family: Bacterial small subunit ribosomal RNA
Source: RNAcentral